CCCCCUACGAAAAUAGUGAGUUUUCGGUAAAUGCUCUAUAUAUGAAGCCUAUAAUCUUUAAAUUUGUUUUAAAAUUUAAAACCACAUUAUACCUUUGUAUUAAUGUAUGAUAAACUUAUUUUCAUGGUACUUGGACAUCGUUCUAAUUUUUUAUCCAUUAAUUUAGCAAAACUGCAAAUACUCCCUUAAUUAUUGGACUAAUCACUAUAAAAUUGCUAUUUCCUAGAGAAACAGAGACAACAAAGGUUCCAAACCUCUUUGAAAUUCAUCAUAUGUUAUUACAUGAUUCAACUAUGCAUUAAAACAGUAUUGUCAAAUUUUUUGAAUUUUUCUCAAAAUCUAUGUGUACCCCCACGAAAUAGUGAGUUUUCGGUAAAUGCUCUAUAUAUGAAGCUUAUAAUCUUUAAUUCGUUUUAAAAUUUAAACCACAUUAUACAUUUGUAUUAUUUAUGAUAAACUCCUUUUCAUGGUACAUGGACAUCGUUCUAAUUUUUUAUCAUUAAUUUAGCAAAACUGCAAAUACUCCCUAAAUCAUUAGACUACCACUAUAAAAUUGCUAUUCCCUAGAGAAACGGAGACAACAAAGGUCCAAACCUCUUUGAACUUCAUCAUAUUUAUUACAUGAUUCAAAUAUGCAUUAAAAACAGUAUUUCAAAUUUUUUUUUUUUUUUUUCAAAAUCUAUGUGUUAACCCCUACGAAAAUAGUGAGUUUUCGGUAAAUGCUCUAUAUAUGAAGCCUAUAAUCUUUAAAUUUGUUUUAAAAUUUAAAACCACAUUAUACCUUUGUAUUAAUGUAUGAUAAACUUCUUUUCAUGGUACUUGGACAUCGUUCUAAUUUUUUAUCCAUUAAUUUAGCAAAACUGCAAAUACUCCCUAAAUCAUUGGACUAAUCACUAUAAAAUUGCUAUUCCCUAGAGAAACGGAGACAACAAAGGUUCCAAACCUCUUUGAAAUUCAUCAUAUGUUAUUACAUGAUUCAACUAUGCAUUAAAACAGUAUUGUCAAAUUUUUUGAAUUUUUCUCAAAAUCUAUGUGUACCCCCUACGAAAAUAGUGAGUUUUCGGUAAAUGGUCUAUAUAUGAAGCUUAUAACCUCUUAAUUCGUUUUAAAAUUUAUAACCACAUUAAACAUUUGUAUUAAUUUAUGAUAAACUCCUUUUCAUGGUACAUGGAAAUCGUUCUAAUUUUUUAUCAAUUAAUUUAGCAAAACUGCAAAUACUCCUUAAAACAUUAGACUAACAACUAAAAAAUUGCUAUUCCCUAGAGAAACGGAGACAACAAAGGUUCCAAACCCCUUUGAACUUCAUCAUAUUCAAUUAUAUGAUUCAAAUAUGUAUUAAAACAGUAUUUUCAAUUUUUUUAAUUUUUUUUCAAAAUCUAUGUGUUAACCCCACGAAAAUAGUGAGUUUUCGGUAAAUGCUCUAUAUAUGAAGCCUAUAUCUUUAAAUUUGUUUUAAAUUUAAAACCACAUUUAUACCUUGUAUUAAUGUAUGAUAAACUUCUUUUCAUGGUACAUGGACAUCGUUCUAAUUUUUUAUCCAUUAAUUUAGCAAAACUGCAAAUACUCCCUAAAUCAUUGGACUAACCACUAUAAAAUUGCUAUUCCCUAGAGAAACGGAGACAACAAAGGUUCCAAACCUCUUUGAACUUCAUCAUAUAUUAUUACAUGAUUCAUAUAUGUAUUAAAACAGUAUUGUCAAAUUUUUUGAAUUUUUCUCAAAAUCUAUGUGUACCCCCUACGAAAAUAGUGAGUUUUCGGUAAAUGCUCUAUAUAUGAAGCCUAUAAUCUUUAAAUUUGUUUUAAAAUUUAAAACCACAUUAUACCUUUGUAUUAAUGUAUGAUAAACUUCUUUUCAUGGUACUUGGACAUCGUUCUAAUUUUUUAUCCAUUAAUUUAGCAAAACUGCAAAUACUCCCUAAUUAUUGGACUAAUCACUAUAAAAUUGCUAUUUCCUAGAGAAACGGAGACAACAAAGGUUCCAAACCUCUUUGAAAUUCAUCAUAUGUUAUUACAUGAUUCAACUAUGCAUUAAAACAGUAUUGUCAAAUUUUUUGAAUUUUUCUCAAAAUCUAUGUGUACCCCCCUACGAAAAUAGUGAGUUUUCGGUAAAUGGUCUAUAUAUGAAGGUUAUAAUCUUUUAAUUCGUUUUAAAAUUUAUAACCACAUUAUACCUUUGUAUUAAUGUAUGGUACACUUCUUUUUAUGGUACAUGGAAAUCGUUCUAAUUUUUUAUCAAUUAAUUUAGCAAAACUGCAAAUACUCCCUAAAACAUUAGACUAACAACUAUAAAAUUGCUAUUCCCUAGAGAAACGGAGACAACAAAGGUUCCAAACCUCUUUGAACUUCAUCAUAUUUAAUUACAUGAUUCAAAUAUGUAUUUAAACAGUAUUUUCAAUUUUUUUAAUUUUUUUUCAAAAUCUAUGUGUUAACUAACCUACGAAAAUAGUGAGUUUUCGGUAAAUGCUCUAUAUAUGAAGCCUAUAAUCUUUAAAUUUGUUUUAAAAUUUAAAACCACAUUAUACAUUUGUAUUAAUGUAUGAUAAACUUCUUUUCAUGGUACUUGGACAUCGUUCUAAUUUUUUAUCCAUUAAUUUAGCAAAACUGCAAAUACUCCCUAAAUCAUUAGACUAACCACUAUAAAAUUGCUAUUCCCUAGAGAAACGGAGACAACAAAGGUUCCAAACCUCUUUGAACUUCAUCAUAUUUAAUUACAUGAUUCAAAUAUGCAUUAAAACAGUAUUUUCAAUUUUUUAAAUUUUUUUCAAAAUCUAUGUGUUAACCCCUACGAAAAUAGUGAGUUUUCGGUAAAUGCUCUAUAUAUGAAGCCUAUAAUCUUUAAAUUUGUUUUAAAAUUUAAAACCACAUUAUACCUUUGUAUUAAUGUAUGAUAAACUUCUUUUCAUGGUACUUGGACAUCGUUCUAAUUUUUUAUCCAUUAAUUUAGCAAAACUGCAAAUACUCCCUAAAUUAUUGGACUAA
This 2979-nucleotide long non-coding RNA is filed under the name Brassica rapa (field mustard). RNAcentral's name for it is "long non-coding RNA (BRAP_LNC003963)". The record is from RNAcentral. Lineage: Eukaryota; Viridiplantae; Streptophyta; Magnoliopsida; Brassicales; Brassicaceae.